This 778-nucleotide long non-coding RNA is filed under the name Homo sapiens (human). RNAcentral describes it as "non-protein coding lnc-GABARAP-1:1". Lineage: Eukaryota; Metazoa; Chordata; Mammalia; Primates; Hominidae. The record is from RNAcentral.
AGACAAUGCCAUCCCCAUCAAAUCCUGGUUCAGUGACCCCAGCGACACAGCCCUUCUCAACCUGCUCCCAAUGCUGGAUGCCCUCAGGUGAUAGUAGAAAAGGCUCCCAAAGCUCGGAUAGGAGACCUGGACAAAAAGAAAUACCUGGUGCCUUCUGAUCUCACAGUUGGUCAGUUCUACUUCUUGAUCCGGAAGCGAAUUCAUCUCCGAGCUGAGGAUGCCUUGUUUUUCUUUGUCAACAAUGUCAUUCCACCCACCAGUGCCACAAUGGGUCAGCUGUACCAGGAACACCAUGAAGAAGACUUCUUUCUCUACAUUGCCUACAGUGACGAAAGUGUCUACGGUCUGUGAAGCUGCUGCCCCUGAGCUGGAGGGGGGUCUCAUUCUACAAAGAGAGAGGUGGCCCCCCUUUCUUGACCUCCUCCUCCUUCAAGCUCAAACACCACCUCCCUUAUUCAGGACCGGCACUUCUUAAUGUUUGUGGCUUUCUCUCCAGCCUCUCUUAGGAGGGGUAAUGGUGGAGUUGGCAUCUUGUAACUCUCCUUUCUCCUUUCUUCCCCUUUCUCUGCCCGCCUUUCCCAUCCUGCUGUAGACUUCUUGAUUGUCAGUCUGUGUCACAUCCAGUGAUUGUUUUGGUUUCUGUUCCCUUUCUGACUGCCCAAGGGGCUCAGAACCCCAGCAAUCCCUUCCUUUCACUACCUUCUUUUUUGGGGGUAGUUGGAAGGGACUGAAAUUGUGGGGGGAAGGUAGGAGGCACAUCAAUAAAGAGGAAACCACC